RNAcentral lists this transfer RNA (35 nucleotides) under Natrix natrix (European grass snake). RNAcentral describes it as "transfer RNA-His". Lineage: Eukaryota; Metazoa; Chordata; Lepidosauria; Squamata; Natricidae. The record is from RNAcentral.
GUGACCAUGACAAUAGGAGCCAAUCCUCGCACACC